AGUAAUGGCAAAACAACGUUUUCACGUCCACAUGUUUCCCGUGAAGAUGUAAAGAAAACACAGUUACAAAAUAUCCACUAUAAUCUACAAACUAAGUCAUUUCCCUUGUUUGCAAAUAUAUUCGGUGCCUACAAUAUACUAUAGUGGCACAUUAAUCACUAUCCAACUUUUUUCCCCUCGACCAAGUAUGUAGGCCCUCUUAUCACCAUUUCCUUUUUGGUUGUUCAAUUUAUGCGGUAUGUUGUUCUGCACUAUCUCCGCGUUGACGACCUUAUCCCACGAUCUUCUGGAUUUUGAUUUGGGGGCAUAAGUUACAGACGUCAAUUGACUCUUGGUCUGCGAGGCUGACUAACCACCACAACAUCCCGUCUACCACUCUCUCCCUGCAAGUUAUAGACAACCAAAGCAACUAAAGAACUAUGUCUUCCACUCUAUAAAGAAAUAGUUUGUUAUUGUGCAUAAAAGAUCAAUCAAAAAGAUAUUGCGUACUGCAAUAGAACGUACCACUUUUCCCACAUGAUUCUCCUUAAUUUUCGACUUGCCCCUUAUUCCAUCCCGCGCUUUUUCAAGGGAGACAUAUAGCCUCUUGCACUAGUCUCAUGUAGUUCUGCAGCUUUCUUCCCAGAGCUGCCAAAAUGCUCUCCAGGAGUCAUAAAUUCAUCAUCCUCUUCGAGAGACUCCCUCCUCGACAACUCAUCUGCGUCCAUCCUUUCACUACGGAUAUCCAAUCUAGGCCAUGGUGCCGACAACUUACCUGCAUUAUCAGCAAUCACUUUUCCACGUACCUUUUUCCUAAGCAAUGUACCACCUCGAAUAACUUUCACAGACUCACAAGUACACCCCUCAUCGUCAAUAGUUAUAAAAAUACCAAAUACCCAAUCACCCAAAACUAACAGGACAUGUAGAAUCAACAAAAAUACCAAAUACCCAAUUUAUAAAAACACGCCCUGCAUAUUAUCCACAAAAAGAAAAAUGCAAAAUCUCAAAAUCCAAAAUUAAUAAACAAUGUUUGCGAUGUCCUUCAACCAAAGAUCAAAUGGACUACAAUGACAAAUAUGAUUGCUUUUCAAAGACUAGAGUAGCAGACAUGACCAAUUAACACCCCAAAAAAUUGCAGGAUAACCCAUAGCACACGACCGCCGAGGGUCGCAAAUUCCAGUCAACAAUAACUCAC
RNAcentral lists this long non-coding RNA (1174 nucleotides) under Daucus carota (carrot). RNAcentral describes it as "long non-coding RNA (DCAR_LNC005236)". The record is from RNAcentral. Lineage: Eukaryota; Viridiplantae; Streptophyta; Magnoliopsida; Apiales; Apiaceae.